GAUGAACGCUGGCGGCGUGCCUAAUACAUGCAAGUCGAGCGAACGGACGAGAAGCUUGCUUCUCUGGUGUUAGCGGCGGACGGGUGAGUAACACGUGGAUAACCUACCUAUAAGACUGGGAUAACUUCGGGAAACCGUAGCUAAUACCGGAUAAUAUUUUGAACCGCAUGGUUCAAAAGUGAAAGACGGUCUUGCUGUCACUUAUAGAUGGGUCCGCGCUGCAUUAGCUAGUUGGUAAGGUAACGGCUUACCAAGGCAACGAUGCAUAGCCGACCUGAGAGGGUGAUCGGCCACACUGGAACUGAGACACGGUCCAGACUCCUACGGGAGGCAGCAGUAGGGAAUCUUCCGCAAUGGGCGAAAGCCUGACGGAGCAACGCCGCGUGAGUGAUGAAGGUCUUCGGAUCGUAAAACUCUGUUAUUAGGGAAGAACAUAUGUGUAAGUAACUGUGCACAUCUUGACUGUACCUAAUCAGAAAGCCACGGCUAACUACGUG
RNAcentral lists this ribosomal RNA (497 nucleotides) under uncultured bacterium. RNAcentral describes it as "partial 16S ribosomal RNA". It matches the Rfam family "Bacterial small subunit ribosomal RNA", at positions 28 to 507 of the family's 1533-position model. The record is from RNAcentral.